Dromaius novaehollandiae (emu) is the source of this 179-nucleotide unclassified non-coding RNA. NCBI's taxonomy places the organism in Eukaryota, Metazoa, Chordata, Aves, Casuariiformes, Dromaiidae. The record is from Ensembl.
UAGACAGCUCUGGAGACUUAAGUCCUCUUUAUCUCCAGAAGUGCUACAACAUGAGGAGGGGCAGCAUCAGCUUCCACAACAGCAAUCUGUCAAGUUGCCUCAGCCUCAGCUCAGCAGGGUCACUUCUAGGAACAAGGAGAUAAUUCAGCCAUUAUGACCCUGUCCAGCUCUCUAGUUCU